UGGAAGUAAAAAGUGGUAACAAGGUUUCCGUAGGUAGAGUUUUGCCUACUACAGCGGCCCUUGGCCUGCUAGUCUCCCAGCGAGGCGACACGCUCAAUGUGCGGAGAGCCCUCCCCCGAGGAGGCAAUCCGCAGUGGCCGGCGCGGCCAUUCAGAGACUCAAUGAGCGUGGGUUCAGCGCGGCUGAGCUUGAGAUAGAGCCCGUCCCUGCCGGCAACGGCGGGGAGGAAACGGAACCUGCGGAAGGAUCAUUA
Molecule: ribosomal RNA, 253 nt
Filed under: Lophodermium australe
Lineage: Eukaryota; Fungi; Ascomycota; Leotiomycetes; Rhytismatales; Rhytismataceae
Description: partial 18S ribosomal RNA
Source: RNAcentral